GAUGAACGCUGGCGGCGUGCCUAAUACAUGCAAGUCGAGCGAACAGACGAGGAGCUUGCUCCUCUGACGUUAGCGGCGGACGGGUGAGUAACACGUGGAUAACCUACCUAUAAGACUGGGAUAACUUCGGGAAACCGGAGCUAAUACCGGAUAAUAUAUUGAACCGCAUGGUUCAAUAGUGAAAGACGGUUUUGCUGUCACUUAUAGAUGGAUCCGCGCCGCAUUAGCUAGUUGGUAAGGUAACGGCUUACCAAGGCAACGAUGCGUAGCCGACCUGAGAGGGUGAUCGGCCACACUGGAACUGAGACACGGUCCAGACUCCUACGGGAGGCAGCAGUAGGGAAUCUUCCGAAAUGGGCGAAAGCCUGACGGAGCAACGCCGCGUGAGUGAUGAAGGUCUUCGGAUAGUAAAACGCUGUUAUUAGGGAAGAACAAAUGUGUAAGUAACUAUGCACGUCUUGACGGUACCUAAUCAGAAAGCCACGGCUAACUACGUG
This 497-nucleotide ribosomal RNA is filed under the name uncultured bacterium. RNAcentral describes it as "partial 16S ribosomal RNA". It matches the Rfam family "Bacterial small subunit ribosomal RNA", at positions 28 to 507 of the family's 1533-position model. The record is from RNAcentral.